Molecule: small RNA, 427 nt
Filed under: Pan troglodytes (chimpanzee)
Lineage: Eukaryota; Metazoa; Chordata; Mammalia; Primates; Hominidae
Description: retained intron
Source: RNAcentral
CUAGAGGAUCCUUCUAGCCUUAAUAGUGUUUGAUUCUCUCUUCAUCUCCCAGAGAAACUCCCAGUUCCUCCUCACCCCGGCUCCCCCAUACUGACCAAUCUGCAUGGCCCAGUCCUGGUAGUGGGAUGGUCUGAAGCUCCCCCUUCUUUUCCCACAGCCCACCUGCCUGGCCGAGUUCAAGCAGAUCAGGUCCAUCAGGUGCCUCCCGCUGGAGGAGGGCCAGGCAGUACUUCAGCUGGGCAUUGAAGGUGCCCCCCAGGCCUUGUCCAUCAAAACCUCAUCCCUAGCAGAGGCUGAGAACAUGGCUGACCUCAUAGACGGCUACUGCCGGCUGCAGGGGGAGCACCAAGGCUCUCUCAUCAUCCAUCUUAGGAAAGAUGGUGAGAAGCGGAACAGCCUGCCCCAGAUCCCCAUGCUAAACCUGGAG